Astyanax mexicanus (Mexican tetra) is the source of this 5681-nucleotide RNA transcript. It is a transcript of the gene named neuropilin (NRP) and tolloid (TLL)-like 1, like, with no coding region annotated. The transcript has 12 exons. Lineage: Eukaryota; Metazoa; Chordata; Actinopteri; Characiformes; Acestrorhamphidae. The record is from RefSeq and is a predicted model, not a curated record.
UCGCGCUGCAGUUGCUGCAGGUCUCCUCACCUCUUUUUCUCUCGUUUUCUUUUUCUCUCUCCCUCUGUGUGCUUGGUUUUCUUUCUCUUUCGCGUCUUUCCUUCACUCUUUUAAUUUUACAGUGGUUUCUGUCUCUCUCCUCUCUUUCUCUGUCUCUCUAUCUCUGGCUCUCUGAGGUCCCGCAGUCUGGCUGGGCUCCUCAGAGCAGCAUCAUCCACAUCCACUUGAUGCACCAGCAGCGUUUUAAACUGGAUUGCGUGUAUUUCCCUGCUCACUGCUGCUGCUGCAUCACACUGAGGAGGGGGGGUGCACCAUCUACCAUGAACUCGGAAGGAUUUGCUUAUUGCACAGCCAUGAAAUGAGCUCCAACUGCUGCCAGUGAUGGAGCUGAUGGUUGAACUCAUCCUGGGCUGAUUGAUUGAAUGGUGGGAUUGUUCCUUUUUUGUUAUUAUCAUCUGGAGAGAAGACUGGAAGAGCCGAACAGCACAAACACCUUGUUGUUUUUUCAUUUCUUGCUGAAGUUGGCUUGGGUUGUGCUGUGCAUGCUCCAAACAAGUCAAAGAAGAGGAAUGGGACUGGAAACAUGUUCUGGCCAAAGGUGGGCACGGAUUGCCCCUGAGGAUUGCCCCUAAAAAGAGAGGGAUUAAUUCUUUCUUUUUAACUAUAAGAGUGAAUGAAGAGUAAAGAGUUCACACAGCAGCAGCAGAAACAGUAGCAGCAGCAACAGCAGCAGAAGGAUUUGGAAGCAUCUGGAUGGAUUUCAGGCUUGUGCUCUAAAGCCCAGCUGCUUUUAUAUCCCAGUCAAGCUGGAGAGGAGUUGGGCAUCUCUUUAUGGAAUUUUCUCCCCACUGCAUCAUCAGAGCAACCCCUGCAUGAAAUCCCUGCACUGACUCCACACUGCUGCCUCUCGCUCUCGCUCUCUUCUCUCCCUCUCUCUCUCUCUUUCUCUCUCUCUCUCUCUCUGUAACACUUCAGACCCAUCCUCGCUCUUUUCUUCCAGAAGUAUUUCCUUCUAAAUGGAAUUAGUUGAGGUUGAAGCCCGUUGUGAAAGGAACAGACAUGGUACAUGGGCGCAGUUUCCUUCACGUUGUUGCAAGUCUCCUCAUACUUGGGUUGUCUGGGGCAACGAAAAAGGAAGCAGUGAAAAACAACUCAGGGGUGCAGCCCGCCGGGCAGUGCGGAACGUGGGUGAAAAAUCCAGAGGGAGGGCUGUUCACAUCUCCCAACUACCCCAACAAAUACCCCCCAGAGAGAGAGUGCAUUUACAUCAUUGAAGCUCCCCCGAGACAGUGCAUUGAUCUCUUCUUUGACGAAAAGUAUUCAAUAGAACCUUCAUGGGAAUGUAAAUUUGACCACAUCGAAGUGCGGGACGGUCCUUUUGGCUUUUCUCCAAUAAUUGGACGCUACUGUGGCCAGCAGAGCCCCCAGUACAUCAGGUCGAGCGGACGCUACCUCUGGAUAAAAUUUGUCGCGGACGGGGAACUGGAAGCUAUCGGCUUUUCGGCAAACUACAACUUCACGGCAGAUCCUGAUUUUAAAGACAUGGGCAUCCCCAAGCCUCUGCCCUUUUGCGAGUUUGAAAUGGGUGGGCCUGAAGGUAUCAUCGAAUCCCAACAAAUCACCAAAGAUGGUAAAGCAUCUCCGACAGAGGCGGUGGAUUGCAAGUGGUUCAUCAGAGCACCCCCUCGCUCUAAGAUCUACCUGCGUUUCCUGGACUAUGAGAUGCAGAACUCUAACGAGUGUAAGCGUAAUUUUGUGGCGGUGUAUGACGGCAGCAGUUCUGUGGAGGAUCUGAAGGUGAAGUUCUGCAGUACAGUGGCGAGUGACGUUAUGCUCCUGUCUGCACUGGGAGUGGUGCGCAUGUGGGCAGAUGAGGGCAGCCGCCGCAGCCGCUUCAAAAUCCUCUUCACCACCUUCCAAGAGCCCCCCUGUGAGGCAGAUACCUUCUUCUGCCACAGCAACAUGUGCAUCAACAACUCACUGGUGUGCAAUGGAAUCCAAAACUGUGUCUACCCCUGGGAUGAAAACCACUGUAAAGAGAAAAGGAAAGCAAACCUGCUGGACAACCUGAACAACACAAACGGCACCAUCAUUGGGGUGACCUGUUGUGUGGUGCUGAUCCUGCUGGUGGUCUCUGUGGUGGUCCAGAUAAAGCAGCCACGGAAGAAGUACAUCCUGCGGCGGGACGAUUUUGACCCCACAGUGUUCCAGGAGGUGUUCCAGGAGCCGCCCCACUACGAGCUGUGCACGCUGCGGAGCGCCGCCGCGGCCUCGGCGGACCUGGCCGAGCUGGCCGAGGACCUGGAGAGCUUCCACCGGCUCCGGAGGUCAUCGUCCCGCUGCGUCCACGACCACCACUGUGGCUCCAACCAGCCGCCCGGCGCCAAGAGCGCCAACCUCAGCCCAGCGGCCCUCAUGACUGAAAUGCAGCCUCAGCCGACGAGGCCGCUGCUGCCCCCAAACACAGCCAACCGCCGCAGCAUCCUGGUGAUGAAGCACAGCUACUCUCAGGACGCCUGUGAGCUCGACGACGAGUUGGAUGAGGUCCCCACCACCAGCCACAGGCUGGCCAGACAUGAAAAGGCAGUGCAGCGGUUCUGCCUCAUUGGGUCUCUAAGCAAACAUGAAUCAGAGUACAACACAACUAGGGUGUGAGACAAUCAGACUUCUUGAAAAUAGUGCAGUCCUGGAUCAGUACGAACGAGCUUCAGAGAAAUAUGAAAACAUGGACCGGAGAUUUACAGCAGCAUGAUGGCACGGACACUGUAGUCACAGGCAUAGGGCCUACAGAACACACUGCAGAUGUAAAUGGACACAGUAGCAGAGAAAAAAAAGAGACUUUUAGAUUGAAAUUGCUUGAAAUAUCUAAAACUUGAAUUUUGGACGAGCAUUAUUUAAUCCAUUUGCCCUUUUUUUAAUUAUUCAGGCCGUUGGUUGACAUUGGACAAACACACUGUAUUAACUGUUAUUUUACUUCCAUUAUAAGAAUAAGUGUAAACAGAACUUUCCUGUUGCAUGCAUUUGUUAUUCUUCCAUAAAAAUAUGUUUUUUUGUUGUUGUUCUUUUUGUUGUUUUUACACCGGAUAAACAGUGUUGACACAGAUUAUUUACAGCCAUAUCUAUAGUCUACAUAUAUUUACCUCAGGCCAAGAGAAACAUUUUUGUCUUUUUGCAUGUCUUAUGUCUAUUUGUCAUUUCGUUUAACAAUUGAUCAUACUAAGUUAAAUCCAAGGCAUUGUGAACUAAACUAAACCCCCCUUAGAAGGCAAAUUACUGCACUAACAUAUGCAUGCUUAAAUAUUUAAAAAAGAUAAAAUAUGUGUGGCUAAGUUCAUUUUAAAAAUGUUUUAAUUAAAUUAAUUAAUUUUGCUGUAUAAUCUAUUUAAAGUGCAGGUGCAAAACACACUCAUAAACUUUUGCUACAUUUUGGUGGCACAUAAUAUUUGUACACAAAUUUUUGUAGCUGUUUGAAAGCUGGACCACCUUUAACACAGUUUAUGUAUGCAUUAAGAAAAUAAUAAACUUUGACAAGAGCCCCUUUCAUGUUUUCUUAUGCCGGCUGAGCCUAAAUCCUAAAGCGUUAGUUGGUGUCCCUGAACUGGGAUUAAUAUGAUGUCAUUGGCAUGUUGUGAAAUAAAAUAAUUAAAUAGCAAACAAAUUUGUAUAAAUUGGACUGAUGAUACUGUGAUGAUUGUCUUUUCCAAUUCCAAGGACAGAUCAUAUGCACACUGCCUCUGCUACUAACAGGCAGAUGCAUCACUGCCCUGCGUCUUUCCAUGUUUGACAGCUUAAGGGACUAACUCGUAACAUCCUCCUACAGACAGGACUGUCAGAUUCAGCGAAUAUUAAGUGGGGCAGCGUCUGCUUCUCAUCUGAUUGCCUAGGGCCUCUUGGCUUUUGGUGGACGACACUAACUUGUGUUCCUACAUUGACUUUAACCUGCUCAGCCACUGAACAGCAUUGUGGUGCCUAGAGAGUAGACAGACAUAAGUCUACAUCUCCUGACUGCAAACUGAAAUCCAGGGGCGGAUUGGGAUGUUUGGGGGUGGGGAUACUGUACUGGGAAUAGGAUGGGGAUGUUGGUUUGUUUUUUAUUCAUUUUCCAUUGUUUUAAUUUUUAUCCAUUGUGUGGGAUAUGAAACAAAUGUAAUUAUUUUUUCUCUUUUGUGACCUUUAAGAAAAGAAUCUAAAGCUAAAAUGUGAAUCUAAACUUUACUGAAUGUCAAUGCAAAUUUGUUCCUUUUCCUAAAGUAGACUUGAGCUGCACAGGCCACUGGAGUCGUGUUGUCAUUUUGUAGUCAGUGCCCACAUUAUAAACUCUAUGUAGAUUCCUCUCUCACAUAAUUAAUUUCCUAGGUUUUGGAAAAUUGUGACUUUUGUGGUAAACACACACAUUUUAAACCCUACAGAAUUUUUUCUAUGUGUAUUUUUUAUUAAAUGCCCCUGUAUCCUCUGAAUUAUACACGUUUUGCUAGUUACAGACUAAGCCUAACACUGCAACACACUGAAAAGACUUGUUUCACCAAAAUACUCCAAACAAACCAGCCAGCUUUAUCAAAUAAAGAGAGUUAAAUGUCUCUGGUAGCGAUAGAGUUUGAAUAAAAAUGUAUAUUUUACUGUAGUAAGCUCAAAAAGUAGUUGUUGACAUAAGCACUGUGCCAUGUCAGUGUGCAGGAACGUUAGCUUAGCUGUAAGCAUAGAUGUAGCAUUAAUCAGUCAUUUGUUUUGACCCAUUAGAUGUAGCAAAUGAGGAUCCAGAGACAUUUAGGGGGGAAACCUUAAAAAACCUUAAACCUCAUUCAUUUGUGUCCAAAAGAAAUUCACCUCAGCCCUGGAGUUUAUAAUAUGGGCUAACUAGCUACAGAAUUGACACAAAUCAUCUGCGGUCUACUGUUAUUAUUAUCACCUGAUAAACAGAUAUCAGUUAUUUGACCUGAUUUUCUGUGAUCUGUUUUUCAAUUUCCUAACCUCUGCCCGCUAAGUGCACAUUCACUAAAAAUUAAUUAUUAGAUUCAGAUUUGACCAAAAUCUUUAGAAACUGGUCAGCAGGUCUUGUCUAUGCAUAUUUGAAUAGAAAGAAAUGUUACUACAAUCAUAUAUAAGCUGCAAGGUAUUGAUCAAUGGUAUGAAAGUAGAUCACACAUCUUUUUUUUUCCAUAUAAAACAUGAAAUGUCUGUAUGUUCAAAACCUGCUCAUUUGCCAGAAGGUCUACUUGGGUCAGCAUUAGGUGAAUCAUAGACAAAAUGUUUUUUAAUAAAAGACAUGAAUAAUUCUGUCAAAAUUCUUGUUUCAACACUGAUUAUUAGUAUUUUUGAAUGUUUUCUUUUUUUUUAAUACAGCAAAAGUGAAAACAGAAUUAUAUUUGUUUUUAUUUUACGUAAAUUGCUUAUUUGAGACCAAGAACCAAGAAUGUUAUGGUUAGUUAUUUGUUAGUCAUUUUCUCUUAUGCAUUUGUUUGGAUUUAGCAUUUUUCUGUUUUUGGUUUUUAUUAUUAAAUACGUUGAAAGACAAUACACUCAGCACACAUGACUGCACCAUGUGAAAUAUGAGGAGAUUCAGGAGAAUACAAAUAAAACUCAUAAACUCCAAAAACAUAGAAUGGAUAGGGAAAACAAAAAUUUUAUUAAAUAACACAUAUAUUCCAUAGGAUUUCAGAAACCCUGUGUUUUUAAUCUUAAAA